GGAUGCGAUCAUACCAGCACUAAAGCACCGGAUCCCAUCAGAACUCUGCAGUUAAGCGUGCUUGGGCGAGAGUAGUACUUGGAUGGGUGACCUCUCGGAAAGUCUUCAUGUUGCAUCCU
Molecule: ribosomal RNA, 119 nt
Filed under: Arabidopsis thaliana x Arabidopsis arenosa
Lineage: Eukaryota; Viridiplantae; Streptophyta; Magnoliopsida; Brassicales; Brassicaceae
Source: RNAcentral